UACGUAGGGUCCGAGCGUUGUCCGGAAUUACUGGGCGUAAAGAGCUCGUAGGUGGUUUGUCGCGUUGUUCGUGAAAACUCACAGCUUAACUGUGGGCGUGCGGGCGAUACGGGCAGACUUGAGUACUGCAGGGGAGACUGGAAUUCCUGGUGUAGCGGUGGAAUGCGCAGAUAUCAGGAGGAACACCGGUGGCGAAGGCGG
RNAcentral lists this ribosomal RNA (201 nucleotides) under uncultured bacterium. RNAcentral's name for it is "partial 16S ribosomal RNA". It matches the Rfam family "Bacterial small subunit ribosomal RNA", at positions 524 to 724 of the family's 1533-position model. The record is from RNAcentral.